This is a long non-coding RNA of Mugil cephalus (flathead mullet), 298 nucleotides long. RefSeq lists it as uncharacterized. Lineage: Eukaryota; Metazoa; Chordata; Actinopteri; Mugiliformes; Mugilidae. The transcript is spliced from 3 exons. The record is from RefSeq and is a predicted model, not a curated record.
AGAGGGGUAGAGGAGUGGACAGACACUGGUAGCGGAGGGGGAGGCGUUUGGCUCGGUGAAGACGGGGAGUGAACGAGCAGAGAGGGUGAGAAACCAGCGGAUCUGGCCCUUUAAAUCACCAAUACGGCGCAUUCGGAGACAAAGCCAAUGUGAGCUCAGCCGCCGUCCAACUCCAGCUCUGUCAUUUUGACUUGGCAACCGUUCGCCCUGCCGUCCCUGCGUCACUCAGAUCGUCCUCUCCUAUUAGUGUUCAAAGAGAGUCCUGUCUGCGCACCACCAGUCAGUUUUCUCCUGUGUU